This 70-nucleotide transfer RNA is filed under the name Marmota monax (woodchuck). RNAcentral describes it as "tRNA.Undet". It matches the Rfam family "tRNA". From Rfam's summary of the family: Transfer RNA (tRNA) molecules are approximately 80 nucleotides in length. The record is from RNAcentral. Lineage: Eukaryota; Metazoa; Chordata; Mammalia; Rodentia; Sciuridae.
GGGGAUGUGGCUCAGCGGUAGAGCACUCGCCUUCAUGUGUGCGGCCCUGGGUUCGAUCCUCAGCACCACA